AUGCCUGUACCAUAACCGACACAGGUGGGUAAGUAGAGUAUACUAAGGGGCGCGAGAUAACUCUCUCUAAGGAACUCGGCAAAAUAACUCCGUAACUUCGGGAGAAGGAGUGCCUUAUUCUUAAGGUUGCAAUAACAAGAUCCAAGCAACUGUUUAUCAAAAACACAGGUCUCCGCUAAGUCGUAAGACGAUGUAUGGGGGCUGACGCCUGCCCAGUGCCAGAAGGUUAAAGAAGUCGGUUAGCAAUAGCAAAGCUGGUAACUGAAGCCCUGGUGAACGGCGGCCGUAACAAUAACGGUCCUAAGGUAGCGAAAUUCCUUGUCGGGUAAGUUCCGACCCGCACGAAAGGCGUAAUGAUUUGGAUGCUGUCUCGGAGAGGGGCUCGGUGAAAUAGACUUGUCUGUGAAGAUGCGGACUACCUGCACCAGGACAGAAAGACCCUAUGAAGCUUUACUGUAACUUGAAAUUGAAAUUGGACUUUAUUCGCGCAGUAUAGGUGGGAGGCGUUGAUUAUAAUCUUGUGGGAUUAUUGGAGCCAUCAGUGAGAUACCACUCUUGUAAUGUUAGAUUUCUAACUUUGAAUCAUUAUCUGGUCAAAGGACAGUUUCAGGCGGGCAGUUUGACUGGGGCGGUCGCCUCCUAAACGGUAACGGAGGCGUACAAAGGUUUCCUCUGAACGGUUAGAAAUCGUAUCUAGAGUGUAAAGGCAUAAGGAAGCUUGACUGUGAGACCUACAAGUCGAGCAGGGACGAAAGUCGGUCUUAGUGAUCUGACGGUACUGAGUGGAAAGGCCGUCACUCAACGGAUAAAAGUUACUCUAGGAUAACAGGCUGAUCUCCCCAAGAGUUCACAUCGACGGGGAGGUUUGGCACCUCGAUGUCGGCUCAUCGCAUCCUGGGGCGGUAGUACGUCCCAAGGGUUGGGCUGUUCGCCCAUGAAAGCGGUACGCGAGCUGGGUUCAGAACGUCGUGAGACAGUUCGGUCCAUAUCCGGUGUAGGCGCUAGAAUAUUGAGAGGAGCCUUCUUUAGUACGAGAGGACCGAGAAGGACAUACCUCUGGUGUACCAGUUAUCGUGCCAACGGUAAUCGCUGGGUAGCUAUGUAUGGAGUGGAUAACCGCUGAAAGCAUCUAAGUGGGAAGCCCACCUCAAGAUAAGUAUUCUCAUCACGUAAGUGAGUAAGGUCACGGUAAGACUAACCGUUUGAUAGGCAUUAAGUGUAAGUACAGUAAUGUAUGUGCUGAGAUGUCCUAAUAGACCGAGGAC
This 1265-nucleotide ribosomal RNA is filed under the name metagenome. RNAcentral's name for it is "bacterial LSU rRNA". It matches the Rfam family "Bacterial large subunit ribosomal RNA", at positions 1638 to 2925 of the family's 2925-position model. The record is from RNAcentral.